GACGAACGCUGGCGGCGUGCCUAACACAUGCAAGUCGAGCGGAAAGGCCCUUCGGGGUACUCGAGCGGCGAACGGGUGAGUAACACGUGAGUAACCUGCCCCAGACUUUGGGAUAACCCUCGGAAACGGGGGCUAAUACCGGAUACGACACAGCUUCGCAUGGGGUCUGUGUGGAAAGUUUUUCGGUUUGGGAUGGGCUCGUGGCCUAUCAGCUUGUUGGUGGGGUGAUGGCCUACCAAGGCGACGACGGGUAGCCGGCCUGAGAGGGCGACCGGCCACACUGGGACUGAGACACGGCCCAGACUCCUACGGGAGGCAGCAGUGGGGAAUAUUGCACAAUGGGCGGAAGCCUGAUGCAGCGACGCCGCGUGAGGGAUGACGGCCUUCGGGUUGUAAACCUCUUUCAGCAGGGACGAAGCGUAAGUGACGGUACCUGCAGAAGAAGCGCCGGCCAACUACGUG
This 462-nucleotide ribosomal RNA is filed under the name uncultured bacterium. RNAcentral's name for it is "partial 16S ribosomal RNA". It matches the Rfam family "Bacterial small subunit ribosomal RNA", at positions 28 to 507 of the family's 1533-position model. The record is from RNAcentral.